GAGACCCCGAGAGGUGGUUGACUGACCUGGAAGUAGGCGCAAUACGCGAAUGCUGCUAAAGAGGAAAAAAGCAGAGUGUGUUUGAGUGCGAAUGUGGGAGAGAGAUAUGAGGGUGUGUCCUCGCGUUGGGGAUAUCCGUCGUCCUUUCUCGUGUGCACUGCAUCUGGCAACGGAGGCGGUCUCUGCCCCUUGGGCAUUUCAAUCGAAUAAGACUUGCUGCUGACGCGGACGUCCCGGGCAACGGAUCGUUUCUCUGCUGUCUUCGCAGUGCGGUGACCCUGGGUUAGAACAGAGGGCUCUUCAAGCGACCAACGUUGAUUAGCAUAUAGCACCAAUGAAUAGAGGCAUGCACUGAA
Long non-coding RNA from Anguilla anguilla (European eel), 356 nucleotides. RefSeq lists it as uncharacterized. The record is from RefSeq and is a predicted model, not a curated record. NCBI's taxonomy places the organism in Eukaryota, Metazoa, Chordata, Actinopteri, Anguilliformes, Anguillidae. The transcript has 2 exons.